Non-coding RNA from Ciona intestinalis (vase tunicate), 521 nucleotides. The record is from RefSeq and is a predicted model, not a curated record. Lineage: Eukaryota; Metazoa; Chordata; Ascidiacea; Phlebobranchia; Cionidae.
AGUUACAUACGUGGUAACUUGUAAGUGGGCAGGAGGUGUAUGAAACAGAACACCCGUGUUUUAACGACUAUCAGUUUCCCAACAUGCAUAGAUGAUUAAAUAAAAUUUAUUCAUUUAUUUAUAGUAGAAUAUCCCACCUUCAGUGUUAAUAGCAGGGUGAACAGCACAAGGCAAGAGGUGUGGAUCCACAGCUCAAAUAUUGAGAAGCCAACAAGUUUUACAACAUAAUCGUUUGUAUAAAUCAUUUUUAUGCCUGCAUUAAUGGAAAGUGCUGCUCUAGAUCUGGUUUCAGAGAAUAUACGGUUAAAUACACUGCAACAGCUUUACUAACUGGACUGUAGACGUGAAAAUACUAAAGACAUUGAUAGAAAAGUCACUCAAGUUCCCUGUUGGACGGUUUUGAUGACAAAACCUAUUCAAUCCGUACUCGCCAUGUAAAUGCUAUUACUAUCUGUCGCCAUUUUGAAAAUCAGCGCUGUAUUUGUAAAUAAAAAUAAGGGGAUUCCCCUACUAUGACGUCA